CUUGGCCACCAAAAUGUCCGCGACCUGCUCUACAUCAAAUUCCUAUAUAAAUUUGCAAUGCAUAUGCACACAUUACUCUUCAUUGGCCAUCUUGAAAAAUCCAUUCAUCGUAAAAGGUUCUUACCAUCCUAUUUGUAGCAUAAAAAAUGAAUGGCCAUGUUCAUUUAUAAUAAAAAGUAGGUCAAAUUAUCAAUUUCAAUAAUCAAUUGGUGGUGUCAUAUUCAGCUUGAGUUUUUCUUGUGGUUUCGAAACAAUUGCUUUCGUUAGGUGGUGGUAAUCAUCUGAUCCAUGGGUUGGAAAGUGGACAUUUAUAUUAAAAGGGCUGAUGUUAUCCAGUCUGUUUGAUUUUCUGAAAGUGGCUUAUGAAAAGUACAUUCGAUAGAACAAAAGGUCAAGAUUAAUCUUAUCAAUACCCCGUGUCCGAUUGCAGCUAUCUACAGGGAAGGUUCCCAUAUGUAUAGCCCACUCGAGCAUUUCUCCAUUUGUUUUCUUUUGUAGCCUUCUGUAGUUUAGUAUAUGGGGUUCCAAAGAUGUAUGUUCCAAGACCAUGAUUACAUUCAGCUUCUAUGCAUUUGCCAAUAAGUGACAAUAUGUACUUUGCCAUGUUCAGAGGCUUAGUUCUUAUACAUAUUUGAAUUGGUUGAAAGGUAUAGAAAAUUCAACUCCCAAUAAUUUGCCACAUAAAGGACUUGUUCUGGACUUGCAGUCUAUGACUCUUCAUGAAGGCUUCUGGAUCGAUGUUGCAUUAUUCCAACAGGACAACAAUUGAGGCAUAUCAAGCAGAUUAAGCAAUCCACUCUAAUGCCCUGCAUGUCCACAAGCACUGUGUUGAAUGGUAUCCAUAUGGUCAUGAGGAACUUGUUGUUUGUGAGGACGUUGAUCAGGCAAGUUUCUGUGGAAAUUGCAUGAAAACUGUUAAAUUGUGUAAUGAAAUCUGUAAAAUUCCUCAUCAAUGUUUGUUUUUUUUGGUUUUGUUUUGUUUUGUUUUGUUUUGAAGGCUACCUUCCAUUUUCUCAUAUGAAAAGCUGAUUGUGCUAGCAUUGAUAAGUCCAUUCAAAAUUGUGUUUGUAGGCUUGGACUAUUUGGGUCAUACACUGCAGUUGGAACCCAUAUGAAAUUUCUCCACAUGAAUUUAUCUCUAGUAGUCCAUUUUCCACUAUUUUAGGCUACCUGGCAUUCUCCAGCAGUCCAUUUUCUUCUCAUUUUUAAUUGCCUGCUGUCGUAAGUUUCAGAUUUAGAAUUUUCAUAUUUCUUGCUGCUGCAUGUGGCUAGUUUGAAGAACCUGAAAAGUACGACUCUAGAUAUGUCUUCUGCAUUAUGCUGAAUCAUUUUUGAAGCAGUUUCAGGCUUGAAAGAUCAAACUACUAGAGAGAGAUCGUGGGGAUUCGACUAAGGAAGAGGUCAUUUCUUAUAGAAUUGGUU
Long non-coding RNA from Magnolia sinica, 1422 nucleotides. RefSeq lists it as uncharacterized. The record is from RefSeq and is a predicted model, not a curated record. NCBI's taxonomy places the organism in Eukaryota, Viridiplantae, Streptophyta, Magnoliopsida, Magnoliales, Magnoliaceae. The transcript has 3 exons.